RNAcentral lists this ribosomal RNA (205 nucleotides) under Bacteroides fragilis. RNAcentral's name for it is "partial 23S ribosomal RNA". It matches the Rfam family "Bacterial large subunit ribosomal RNA", at positions 1080 to 1290 of the family's 2925-position model. The record is from RNAcentral. Lineage: Bacteria; Pseudomonadati; Bacteroidota; Bacteroidia; Bacteroidales; Bacteroidaceae.
AUUGCUAAGACAGCUAGGAUGUUGGCUUGGAAGCAGCCAUUCAUUUAAAGAGUGCGUAACAGCUCACUAGUCGAGGAGUUUGGCGUGGAUAAUAAUCGGGCAUUAAGUGUUUUACCGAAGCUAUGGGAUACGUAAGUAUCGGUAGGGGAGCAUUCCACUCUGCGUUGAAGGCGAAGCGUGAGCUUUACUGGAGCGUGUGGAAAAG